CAUGAGUCAGGGGAGCAGAGAGGAUGGGACCAGCCCCAAGACCAAAUAUUGUCCCAAUCUACUGUGACUGGCAAGUCACAAGCAGUGUCCUGGGUGCAGCAAAUCCCUUCUAAAGCUCUGAGAUCAGUGAGUCGGCCAAUUCCACCAAGCACAAAGUCUUCAGCUGCUGGAGGUCUCAUUUGUACAGCAUGUGGGCCUUCCCUUUCACCAUGGCCUGCCUCCUCCUCUCACAGCACAUCGGCUUCUGCAUCCACUCCAGAGUCACCCAGAAGAGAGCCAGGGCUCUAAAGACCAGCACCGCCCUGCUAUGAUAUGCCAGCCACCUCCCAGGAUUUGACCCAAGUGACCUUUGACCCUGAGUGUAGGCAGGGCUGGCUCUGGCAAGGCUGUGGGAUCUAGGGGCUCUGGGCUGGGAUGCAGUCAGAGCUGGCAAUCAGAUGAUCAUUUGGCAAGUUCUUCUUCUCCUGGCUAAGUGGUGCUCCCUGGGUCUGUAGGCAACUGUUCCACAGCUGCUCCAGCCUGACUGUGCCUGGCCUUGGUUCGUUCUUCUUAUCCUGGAGCUGCUAGGGGGUGUGAGUUCUCAUGCAGGGCCCUGCCCUAGUCCCUCUGCUCCAGGCUCUAUUUGGGGCAGAGGGAAUUAGGGCUCUGGGAAGGGCAAGACUCCUGGCCUGGGAGAGACUGGGAGCUGAAGGUGAAACGCUAAUGGAUUCACCCUCCUCUUCCUUCUACUAGAACUCCUCCAAGUUCCCCCACACAAUUAACCCUUUACUUUUGGUGAUCCAGCUGCAAGCUGCUGAGACUGAAAUCAAAGACUUGCAGUCAGCGUUUGAGCUGGAGAAGAUUGAUUAUCUCACCAUUGUUCGCUGAAGGAAUGGGACUGCUUCUUCUUUCAGCAGCUUCUGGAUCAGGUGCAGCCCCUCAUGCCAUGUGACAGUAACUAUAGCAACCUAGACAAGAUCAGACACGAGUCGGUCUGGGAUGAGGAGAUGAGGACAGCGGCUGCUGAAAACUCCUGAAGCCCGUCAUUCAAAAAACCAGCCCCCCUGCAGCAGUUCCAUCACUGCCACAGACUAAGCCAGCCAGGAAGAGCUCCUCAGGCGAGAACGGAGAGCUGAUGAUGCAGGAAGAGGACCGCUACAAACUGAUGCUGAGGAGGAGUGACAGUGAGAAAAUUACCAGUAACUAUUUCCUGUCCAAGCGAGCCAGCCAGAUCCUCAGUGCUGAUCCUACAGAGUCUUCAUAAAUAUCUGACACUCCUCCUUUCCUUUUGUCCAUUUGCCUGUAUCUCCUCCAGUAGGGUGCCAUUCCAUCUGUCAAGCUCAGCACCUCUCAUACCCACUUGAGAUGGUUGAAUGAUAUGAAAGACACAAACAGCCGACUGACGCGCUGGUACCUAUUUCUCCAGCCCUAUGCAUUCCAAGUUCCGGAUAGGGAAGGCAAAGCUCCCCAGAACACUGACUUUGCUCCCCCGCAUUCCCUGGAGAAAAUGUGAUGGCCCCAGCUCUACUAGCUCCAUCUUGGGGGCGGGGUGUGAUUGGGUGCACAAACCCUACACUGAGCAACAAGGAGCUAAGGAAAUACUCUGGCCUAGCCAGCCCCACCGCAUCCUUGGCAAAUGCACCAACUGGAGGAGGGGGUAAAAGGCAGGUGAGCAGCUCAUUUUGUAGCAGACCAGGAAGGAGAGCAGACAUGCUACUGGCAGCUCCAGGAGAGACGAGCUGAGAGACGUCAGAAACUCCCCCUAAACAACUGCCAAAAGGUCCCUCCCUGAGGAAAGGGAAGACCUGCUGCAGGGACAGCCUGAGAGAGAAGCACUUUCCUCACCCUGUCAUAUGAACUCUGGACUUGAUUUAUUUGCUGUUUGGACUACCCCAACAGGGGAAAGUCCUUGGACUGAGCUGGCCCCAGGAGACUGGGCCAUACCCCAGGAGGAGGCAGUUGCCACCCAAGAGGAAAGGAGAAUGACCUCACUACAUGCAGCCACCAGACGGUGCCGUGGGGUGAACAGACAACCCUCACACUGCUUUACCCCAGACAGUGACCUUGGGACAGUUGCAGGGAGGUGGUAGGAAGUGGCCUUAAGCAUCCUGAGCUGUCAGAGUCCUGAUAGCCAUGGGUGCUCCGAAGCUCACGCACUCAUGGAUAAAAAUACGGGGUGUUCAGCAUGCACCAGCCACAUUGGUUCAGGCCUGGGCUGGCUGCCAGCAGACCGGCUAGCCGGAGGCGCUCAGGGGAGGGGUGGAGCAGGGGUAAGAAGAGGCGGAGCAAGGGCAGGGCCUUGGGCGAAUGGGGCGGGGCCUAGGGGCAGAGUGGGAGUGGAGCAUCCACUGGGGAAAAAAAUGUCAGCACCUGUGCUGAUAGCCCACAAAGAGCCAUGGGUCAGAGCCCAGUGGAGUAGGAGGGCCUGGGAUCCCCUCACAACAACCCCUCUGAAUGUCACAGGCCUGAGCCCUGACCAGUAGAUGGUGCUCCCCUCCCAACCUGGAGCGAGGGCCGUCACGUUAUCCCAGUAGGAUUGCCACGGAUCCCAGGUUUUCAGGGAAUAAAGCACCAUGGGCUAGAGGUUCUGCAGAAGCAGCACCCUUAGCCUGUGUAUCACUCAGUGGCGCUGGUGAUUCUUUAAUGGACACCAGUCCCCCUGGGGGCCUUCAUGGGCAGUGUCCGCAAACAUUGCAGCGGCCUUCCUUGGCAGUUACCCUCUUAACAAUGUAGCAUUUGGUGGCACAAUCCUCUUAUCACAGCGGCUUUUGGAAGGGACAGUUUGACUUUCCUUUGAGUUUAGGGUCAGUGGAGACAAAUGCUGCUUCCAGGGGUUUUAAAGUCUGUAGUGACAACUCCAGGUUCAAGCUGGGGCUGGCACAUUCCUCCAUGACCUGCUUCCCUGCCACAUGUGUUCAGCAAGCGCUGCACAUUUAGUCUUCCAUUCAGGUCACUGCCGCCCCCAGCAGGUGGUGGGAAGUCAAACCUCUGUAUUUGGACUAAAAUCUUUAGGUGAUGUGACAAAAUUCCUCAAAAAAAGCCUUAAAAUCACUUUCCGUAUUUCCCAAUGCAAGUUUCCUAGACAGCACUUACUUAUUUCCUUUUGGAUGUCACAGCCACAACUUGAGCUCAUGUCCCAUACAGACUUCUCCAGUCUUAUUCCUCAUUGCAAUAAGACAGAGAGAGCUUCUGGCAGUAUCGCUACCAUAUCACAGCCAUUUCUGCUUUCUCUUCUCUUGAGAAAGAGUCUGAAACUGACAUCAUUUAUGAGGCACAGACUCUGUUCUCCAAGAAAAUACAGUUUACACAUUUAUUCCCUGAGUCCUCUAGAUCAGAUCAGAAACUGCAGUUCAAUGAGACAGUGGACAUGAUCGCUCCUGUCCUUGUGUUCAAGAUGUUAGAGUUUUGUAAACUGUAUGUUGACUGUUUAUAUUUUAGUCAUUUAUCUUAUGUGCAGGACAUCUGGUUAAUGAUCACAAUACAUUGCCUUUUAAUGACAAACUCA
Non-coding RNA from Caretta caretta (loggerhead turtle), 3484 nucleotides. Lineage: Eukaryota; Metazoa; Chordata; Testudines; Cheloniidae. The record is from RefSeq and is a predicted model, not a curated record.